This 460-nucleotide ribosomal RNA is filed under the name uncultured bacterium. RNAcentral describes it as "partial 16S ribosomal RNA". It matches the Rfam family "Bacterial small subunit ribosomal RNA", at positions 338 to 795 of the family's 1533-position model. The record is from RNAcentral.
CCUACGGGGGGCAGCAGUGAGGAAUAUUGGUCAAUGGACGAGAGUCUGAACCAGCCAAGUAGCGUGAAGGAUGACUGCCCUAUGGGUUGUAAACUUCUUUUAUAUGGGAAUAAAAUGUUCCACGUGUGGGUUUUUGUAUGUACCAUAUGAAUAAGGACCGGCUAAUUCCGUGCCAGCAGCCGCGGUAAUACGGAGGAUCCGAGCGUUAUCCGGAUUUAUUGGGUUUAAAGGGAGCGUAGGUGGAUUGUUAAGUCAGUUGUGAAAGUUUGCGGCUCAACCGUAAAAUUGCAGUUGAAACUGGCAGUCUUGAGUGCAGUAGAGGUGGGCGGAAUUCGUGGUGUAGCGGUGAAAUGCUUAGAUAUCACGAAGAACUCCGAUUGCGAAGGCAGCUCACUGGACUGCAACUGACACUGAGGCUCGAAAGUGUGGGUAUCAAACAGGAUUAGAUACCCCAGUAGUC